Molecule: long non-coding RNA, 3837 nt
Organism: Bos grunniens (domestic yak)
Lineage: Eukaryota; Metazoa; Chordata; Mammalia; Artiodactyla; Bovidae
Source: Ensembl
AUGGCUGGGUUCAAACAGAGACCCAGGCUCACAGAGAGUCCUGUCUAUCUUUCCCAUUUCCCAGCUCCUUUCUGCCCAGGAAGAAGCUGGAUUGUUGAACUUGUGAAGAGCAUGGACUCAAGUCCUGCUUCCAACAGGCCCUUAGCCAGCUGUGGAAGCUUUGGGAAAUUCCUUCAUUCCUCUGAGCCUCAGUUUCUUCAUCUAUGGAACCUACACCUCCAGCAAAGCAUGGUGUGGUUUACAUGCCUCACUCAUAGAACCCUUGUCAGGAAGUUAAAUGGAAUGGCAUUACCGUGGUGCCGGAGGCAUUUUAAGAAUGAUUGGCUGUAACUGUGCCUGAAUAUAGUUUCUAAGCAGUCAUUGAGCCCUGAAUUGAUCCACAGGCUGAACUAGGUUCGAGGAGGCUGCAAGAGCCAGGUGCCACGAGGUUACUCUGAAGUGCCCUCAUCCCUGGAAGAGACCCCUGGAUGAGCCUUGGGGAGUCCUUGAAGUCCUAGAAUCUGGUUUUCAUAAGAUCUUUUUCAGCAAGGUAUUGGUAUCAACAAGUUGCAUUUACCAUCUUAAUGACUUCCUCAAAUAUAAAAUCCACUGCAUAAAAGUGAUUUUUAUCCUUAGUUUUAAAAUGUGAGUUGUUAAAGAUCCCUAUAGCUAUGCCCAUCAAAAUAUCACUUAAAAGUUACAAUUCUCCAGCUUCUUCUGUGUGGCCUACAGAUUAUCUACCUUGAAAUUUCUUCACCAGAUAGGGAGAAAUACCUCAAGCUGUCUUUCAUGUACAAGCCCAGGAGCAGUUUUACACAAAGAUCAGUGUUCUCUCAGUUAAACGCUGGUUAAAUAAAACAGUGUAAAAUAGAAUCUGAGAGAAACAAAUUACCUAAGACCUGUUUCCUCCAGGGCACCAGGUUUCAGCCUUCCUUUAAUUUUCUCUUGUUGUUGUUGUUCAGUCACUCAGUCGUGUCCGACUCUUUGUGAUCCCAUGAACUGCAGCAUGCCAGGCUUCCCUGUCCUUCACUAUCUCCUAGAGUUUGCUCAAACUCACAUCAAUGAUGCCAUCCAACCACCUCAUCCUCUGUCACCCCCUUCUCCUCCUACCCUCAGUCUUUUCCAGCAUCAGGGUCUUUUUCCAAUGAGUUGGCUCUAGUGUGGGCCAAUUUGAAGGCACUCAGCUUUGGUGGGUCAGCUCAUCCACUAGCGGAAAUUAUGCCAUGUCUCACUUGUUUCUUUCAUGUUCCCACUGCCUACUUUUCAAACUUGGCUAUUGUAAUUUACUCAGUUUGUACUGUACUUCUCUAUAAGAGAAGUUAAUAUUUAAAAUAUUGCAUUCUAAGUUCCAUCAACCAACAUUUCUUAAAUGACUAUUUCUAAAGAAAUAGAAGAUGAAAUCUCUCCUUAAAAAAGAAAUACCUACUAUUUAGGAAGACAGAGCACACCCAGAUGGAAUAAUGAAUAAAAUUUUUUGAAGCAAUAAAUUGGCAAGUGCUAAAGAAUAAUUUGCAAAAAAAAAAAAAAUAAAUAAGAAUGAUGUUCAAGGAGAACUAACUAGAAAAAUGAACAGAACCAGGCAGGGUACUCAAAAAAGCUUUUGAAGGCCAGUUCAGUCAGUUCAAUUCAGUUGCUCAGUCGUGUCUGACUCUUUGCGACCCCAUGAAUCGCAGCACGCCAGGCCUCCCUGUCCAUUACCAACUCCCGGAGUUCACUCAGACUCACGUCCAUCGAGUCAGUGAUGCCAUCCAGCCACCUUAUCCUCUGUCAUCCCCUUCUCCUCCUUCCCCCAAUCCCUCCCAGCAUCAGAGUCUUUUCCAAUGAGUCAACUCUUCGCAUGAGGUGGCCAAAGUACUGGAGCUUCAGCUUCAGCAUCAGUCCCUCCAAAGAAAUCCCAGGGCUGAUCUCCUUCAGAAUGUAGGCAUAUAUAAAGAUGUUAGCAUCUUUUCUUUGGGAUUUUUAUAUAUAAUACAUAUAAUAUAAUAUAUAUAUAUAUAUACAUAUAUAAUGGAAUACUACUUAACCAUAAAAAAGAAUGCAACAUUGCCCGAAAUAUUGCCAUUUGCAGCAACAUGGAUGGACUUAGAGAUUACCUUACUAAGUAAAUCAGAAAGAAAAAGACAAAUACUACAUGAUAUCACAUACGUAGAAACUAAAAUAUGACACAAAUGAACUUACUUAUGAAACAGACUCAAAACCAUAGAGAACAGACUUGUAAUUGUCAAGGGGAUGGAGCUGGGGGAGGAAUGGAUUGGGAUUAGCAGAUGUAAACAAUUGUAUACAGGAUGUGUAAACAACAAGGUCCUACUGAAUAGCACAGGGAACCACAUUCAAUAUCCUGUAACAAACCAUAAUGAAAAAGAAUAGGAAAGAAGAUAUACAUAUAUAUGAAUCUCUUUGCUGUAUAGCAGAAAGUAACGCAACAUUGUAAAUCAACUAUACUUUAAAAAAAUUUUUUUAAAAGGCUUCUAGGAAGCAGUGAAAUUUAUUUUAGAUUUUGACAAAGACAAAUUUGGAUUAGAAAAAUGUUGUGAGGGUACAUGUUAGACAAAGGAGAUAUUUUACUUUUGUGCAAGAGGAGGAAAACACACUUUAUUUCAGAUAAUUGUAGAACCAUUAAACUGGCUCAUUCUUUUUCUCAUGCUAUUAAGAUAUAAGAUGAAUAGAAAAAUAUAUUUAUCAAUCUAUUAUAUCUACUCCUCCCUUCUAAACUAUUGAAAAUCCCACCUACAUUUUCUUUACAGAGCCCACAAAUGCUCUAAUAUUGACUGUUUUUGUUUCUUCCCCUAAACGUUACUUGCUAAAUCUUUUUUCAUCUAAUUUAUUUAUAUAAUUUUUGGCUUACUUUUGUUAAAUGAUACAAAAUAAUUGUAGACCAGGCAAAGUUUGUAUACUCACUUAAAUGUCUCCCUAUCUAACAUCUGUUUUUUUUUUUUUUUCUUCUCCUAAAUGGAAGAAACUUCCUUCUGAAAUAAUUUACUGCAGUCCCAAAUGGCUGUUUAUGGUCAUUUUAGAGAUAAAAUUCCAUAAAUUCAAGUUAGCACUGACAUUUUAUAAGUGCUGUCAUGUCAAAGCUGGGGAAUGGAAACCAUCUCACUGGGUUCUCUAAAGUGGAAGCAUCUUUUGUCUGCUUAUUACUGUGAGAAAUGGCCGGAUUAAAGCCUCCAAAUGUUUCAGUGAUGCAGAGCAAAGGUGACUUCCUGUUUUGUUUUAGGGUUUGUUUCUUCUCUUCUCAAUGAAGGCUGUGUUUUCUGACAUUCUGCAAUCUUUUGCUCAGUGAUUUCCCAUUGAAAGGGCAGGGUAGGAGGGCCUCUGCAGGUCAUUCUAUUUACAAUAUGCCCUGAAAAGGGAGGAAGGGAGAGGGAGGGAAAGAGGAAGCUCAUUAGUGGAAGGAGCAGACCAGGAGGGAUCUGUUUUCCAUUUUCUUUUCUGGAUUGAGCUCAUUUGGAUGGAAAGGAUAUUAUUGUUAUCCUUAUCAUCAUUAUCAUUACCAGUGUGGUCUAAUUUUCCUACACGUUUGUCUCAAGUGUGAGGUGAAUUUACUGGUAGAAGAGUUAAUAAGUGCCAUUUUAUUUUAGUAAAAUCAGGGGUGGGUGCGUGAGGGAAGCCCAAGUACUUUAAAGCAGUUUUCACUUUGAAGCUUAAAAUGCAAAACUCAAAAGUUUUAAUUCUGCAGUGCAAAAGAAAAAAAUUAAAAGAAAAAAAGACCUGUUACUUGCUUCUCGUGGCCUAUUUGUAAUUAUGUACAGCGUUUCUUCUCUUUUUAUGAAAGGCGAUUUCCGCCCACACCCCCUACCCCGGUCCCCACACCCGCCACCACCUAGUUAUUGAAAAUCCCACCUACAUUUUCUUUACAGA